GUCACUUUGCCGGAGUGGUUAACGGGAUCGCCUGCUAUAAACCACGAAGAACGCGUUGGUAUAUACGAAAAGCGGUUGGGCUUUGCCCGCGAGUGUUCGAAUCGCUCAGGUGACG
This is a non-coding RNA of Termitomyces sp. T159_Od127, 115 nucleotides long. Lineage: Eukaryota; Fungi; Basidiomycota; Agaricomycetes; Agaricales; Lyophyllaceae. The record is from the annotation of a GenBank genome assembly.